AKAWUUCGGKSUAKAGUUUGAUCCUGGCUCAGGAUGAACGCUASCRACAGGCUUAACACAUGCAAGUCGAGGGGCAGCACGGGAGUAGCAAUACAACUGGUGGCGACCGGCGCACGGGUGAGUAACGCGUAUGCAACCUACCUAUCAGAGGGGAAUAACCCGGCGAAAGUCGGACUAAUACCGCAUAAAACAGGGGCACCGCAUGGUGAUAUUUGUUAAAGAAAUUCGCUGAUAGAUGGGCAUGCGUUCCAUUAGGUAGUUGGUGAGGUAACGGCUCACCAAGCCGACGAUGGAUAGGGGAACUGAGAGGUUGGUCCCCCACACUGGUACUGAGACACGGACCAGACUCCUACGGGAGGCAGCAGUGAGGAAUAUUGGUCAAUGGGCGGGAGCCUGAACCAGCCAAGUCGCGUGAAGGAAGAAGGAUCUAUGGUUCGUAAACUUCUUUUGCAGGGGAAUAAAGUGCAGGACGUGUCCUGUUUUGUAUGUACCCUGAGAAUAAGGAUCGGCUAACUCCGUGCCAGCAGCCGCGGUAAUACGGAGGAUCCGAGCGUUAUCCGGAUUUAUUGGGUUUAAAGGGUGCGUAGGUGGUUUGAUAAGUCAGCGGUGAAAGUUUGCAGCUUAACUGUAAAAAUGCCGUUGAAACUGUCGGACUUGAGUGUAAAUGAGGUAGGCGGAAUGCGUGGUGUAGCGGUGAAAUGCAUAGAUAUCACGCAGAACUCCGAUUGCGAAGGCAGCUUACUAAGCUACAACUGACACUGAAGCACGAAAGCGUGGGGAUCAAACAGGAUUAGAUACCCUGGUAGUCCACGCAGUAAACGAUGAUUACUAGCUGUUUGCGAUACACAGUAAGCGGCACAGCGAAAGCGUUAAGUAAUCCACCUGGGGAGUACGCCGGCAACGGUGAAACUCAAGGAAUUGACGGGGGGCCCGCACAAGCGGAGGAAMAUGUGGUUUAUUCGAUGAUACGCGAGGAACCUUACCYCGGUUUGAACGUAGGGAGAMAGGRAUGGAAACAUUCUAUCAGCAAUGACUGCUACGAGGGUGCUGCAUG
RNAcentral lists this ribosomal RNA (1054 nucleotides) under uncultured Bacteroides sp. RNAcentral describes it as "bacterial SSU rRNA". It matches the Rfam family "Bacterial small subunit ribosomal RNA", at positions 1 to 1047 of the family's 1533-position model. The record is from RNAcentral. Lineage: Bacteria; Pseudomonadati; Bacteroidota; Bacteroidia; Bacteroidales; Bacteroidaceae.